UCAUCAUUUAGUUUCUGUCCAGAAAUGGACUUUUGUUAGUAUUGCAUUAGGAAGUUUUUGUGUUGCCAAAUCUAGCUAUGCCAUCAUUGGUUGCAUCCAAGGAGACCACUAUCUGGAAGGUUUGGUGGCAAGAAAACAUCCCUAGAUUCCCAUGGCAUUCUGUCAAACACAUGGUGUCCCUGACGAGAUUUGACAAGCCUUUCAGUUUGUUUGGUGGAGUUUAACCCGGGACCUAACCAGCAUGUCUACUAACCCUUUAC
RNAcentral lists this long non-coding RNA (260 nucleotides) under Hordeum vulgare. RNAcentral's name for it is "long non-coding RNA (HVUL_LNC012099)". Lineage: Eukaryota; Viridiplantae; Streptophyta; Magnoliopsida; Poales; Poaceae. The record is from RNAcentral.